CUCAUUCAAACAUGUAUCAUAGCCAAUUUGGGCAACAUUCCUCUUCGCGAAAAGAAACGUUGGGGGAAGCAAAAGAACGUUUAUUGCAGGAACAACACUCUUGGGCAUUGAGGUCUCUAGGUAUUAUUAGGGUCAAUACUGAAGUUAACCCUAAAGAAGAAUGUUGAGCCACUAUCUUUGAGGAUGACAAGGUUAUUAAUGAAGAGAAGAUAGAGGAAGAUGAGAUAACAAAGGU
This 235-nucleotide long non-coding RNA is filed under the name Vigna radiata. RNAcentral describes it as "long non-coding RNA (VRAD_LNC013421)". Lineage: Eukaryota; Viridiplantae; Streptophyta; Magnoliopsida; Fabales; Fabaceae. The record is from RNAcentral.